Molecule: non-coding RNA, 30 nt
Filed under: Rattus norvegicus (Norway rat)
Lineage: Eukaryota; Metazoa; Chordata; Mammalia; Rodentia; Muridae
Source: RNAcentral
UGACCUAUGAUAUAUGUCUUCCCUCCUUGC